GUUUCCCUAGUGUGGUGGUUAUCACGUUCGCCUAACGUGCGAAAGGUCCGUAGUUCAAAACUGUGCGGAAACA
Cynoglossus semilaevis (tongue sole) is the source of this 73-nucleotide non-coding RNA. NCBI's taxonomy places the organism in Eukaryota, Metazoa, Chordata, Actinopteri, Pleuronectiformes, Cynoglossidae. The record is from the annotation of a RefSeq genome assembly.